Molecule: ribosomal RNA, 440 nt
Filed under: uncultured bacterium
Lineage: Bacteria
Description: partial 16S ribosomal RNA
Rfam family: Bacterial small subunit ribosomal RNA
Source: RNAcentral
CCUACGGGUGGCAGCAGUGGGGAAUAUUGCACAAUGGGGGGAACCCUGAUGCAGCAACGCCGCGUGGGUGAAGAAGUACUCCGGUAUGUAAAGCACUGUCAGCAGGGAAGAAAAUGACGGUACCUGACCAAGAAGCCCCGGCUAACUACGUGCCAGCAACCGCGGUAAUACGUAGGGGGCAAGCGUUAUCCGGAUUUACUGGUGGGAAAGGGAGCGUAGACGGCAAGGCAAGUCUGGAGUGAAAGCCCGGGGCCCAACCACGGGACUGCAUUGGAAACUGUGUGGCUGGAGUGCAGGAGGGGUAAGCAGAAUUCCUAGUGUAGCGGUGAAAUGCGUAGAGAUUAGGAGGAACACCGGUGGCGAAGGCGGCUUACUGGACUGUAACUGACGUUGAGGCGCGAAGGCGUGGGGAGCAAACAGGAUUAGAUACCCGAGUAGUC